AUUGAACGCUGGCGGCAUGCCUUACACAUGCAAGUCGAGCGGCAGCACGGGGCAACCUGGUGGCGAGUGGCGAACGGGUGAGUAAUGCAUCGGAACGUACCUUUCAGUGGGGGAUAACGUAGCGAAAGUUACGCUAAUACCGCAUAUUCUGUGAGCAGGAAAGCAGGGGAUCGCAAGACCUUGCGCUGAUUGAGCGGCCGAUGUCAGAUUAGCUAGUUGGGGAGGGAAAGGCUCACCAAGGCGACGAUCUGUAGCGGGGCUGAGAGGAUGAUCCGCCACACUGGAACUGAGACACGGUCCAGACUCCUACGGGAGGCAGCAGUGGGGAAUUUUGGACAAUGGGGGCAACCCUGAUCCAGCCAUGCCGCGUGAGUGAAGAAGGCCUUCGGGUUGUAAAGCUCUUUCGGCCGGGAAGAAAUCGCACGGGCUAAUACCCUGUGUGGAUGACGGUACCGGAAUAAGAAGCACCGGCUAACUACGUGCCAGCAGCCGCCGUAA
This 498-nucleotide ribosomal RNA is filed under the name uncultured bacterium. RNAcentral's name for it is "partial 16S ribosomal RNA". It matches the Rfam family "Bacterial small subunit ribosomal RNA", at positions 29 to 523 of the family's 1533-position model. The record is from RNAcentral.